RNAcentral lists this ribosomal RNA (806 nucleotides) under uncultured bacterium. RNAcentral describes it as "bacterial SSU rRNA". It matches the Rfam family "Bacterial small subunit ribosomal RNA", at positions 8 to 807 of the family's 1533-position model. The record is from RNAcentral.
AGAGUUUGAUCCUGGCUCAGGAUGAACGCUGGCGGCAGGCUUAAUACAUGCAAGUCGAACGGUAACGACCGGUAGCAAUACUGGGGCGACGAGUGGCGCACGGGUGCGUAACGCGUAUGCAACCUACCCUCAACCGGGGCAUAACGCCGAGAAAUUGGCGCUAAUAUCCCAUGUGUAUAUGGAGUGGCAUCUCUUCAUAUAUAAAGAUCCGUUGGUUAAGGAUGGGCAUGCGUAACAUUAGCUAGUUGGCGGGGUAACGGCCCACCAAGGCGACGAUGUUUAGGGGUUCUGAGAGGAUUCACCCCCACACUGGAACUGAGACACGGUCCAGACUCCUACGGGAGGCAGCAGUAGGGAAUAUUGGGCAAUGGAGGCAACUCUGACCCAGCCAUGCCGCGUGAAGGAAGACGGCCCUAUGGGUUGUAAACUUCUUUUGCCGCAGAGUAACCGCGGGGACGUGUCCCUGCCUGAGAGUAUGCGGCGAAUAAGUAUCGGCUAACUCCGUGCCAGCAGCCGCGGUAAUACGGGGGAUACGAGCGUUAUCCGGAUUUAUUGGGUUUAAAGGGUGCGCAGGCGGACCGUUAAGUCAGGGGUGAAAAGUUGGGGCUCAACUCCAAUCGUGCCUUUGAUACUGGCGGACUAGAGUGCAGGGGACGUGACUGGAAUGUGAUGUGUAGCGGUGAAAUGCUUAGAUAUGUCACAGAACGCCGAUCGUGAAGACAGGUCACGAAUCUGCAACUGACGCUCAUGCACGAAAGCGUGGGGAUCAAACAGGAUUAGAUACCCUGGCAGUCCACGCUGUAAAC